Oncorhynchus keta (chum salmon) is the source of this 271-nucleotide long non-coding RNA. RefSeq lists it as uncharacterized. NCBI's taxonomy places the organism in Eukaryota, Metazoa, Chordata, Actinopteri, Salmoniformes, Salmonidae. The record is from RefSeq and is a predicted model, not a curated record. The transcript is spliced from 3 exons.
UGGUGUUGAUGGUGGGACUGACAGGACAGUGAUGGUGUUGAUGGGACUGACAGGACAGUGAUGGUGUUGAUGGGACUGACAGGGCAGUGAUGGUGUUGAUGGAGGGACUGACAGGACAGUGAUGGUGUUGAUGGGACUGACAGGACAGUGAUGGUGUUGAUGGUGGGACUGACAGGACAGUGAUGGUGUUGAUGGUGGGACUGACAGGGCAGUGAUGGUGUUGAUGGUGGGACUGACAGGGCAGUGAUGGUGGGACUGACAGGGCAGUGAU